Molecule: ribosomal RNA, 497 nt
Filed under: uncultured bacterium
Lineage: Bacteria
Description: partial 16S ribosomal RNA
Rfam family: Bacterial small subunit ribosomal RNA
Source: RNAcentral
GAUGAACGCUGGCGGCGUGCCUAAUACAUGCAAGUCGAGCGAACGGACGAGAAGCUUGCUUCUCUGAUGUUAGCGGCGGACGGGUGAGUAACACGUGGAUAACCUACCUAUAAGACUGGGAUAACUUCGGGAAACCGUAGCUAAUACCGGAUAAUAUUUUGAACCGCAUGGUUCAAAAGUGAAAGACGGUCUUGCUGUCACUUAUAGAUGGAUCCGCGCUGCAUUAGCUAGUUGGUAAGGUAACGGCUUACCAAGGCAACGAUGCAUAGCUGACCUGAGAGGGUGAUCAGUCACACUGGAACUGAGACACGGUCCAGACUCCUACGGGAGGCAGCAGUGGGGAAUAUUCGACAAUGGGCGAAAGCCUGAUCCAGCCAUGCCGCGUGUGUGAAGAAGGUCUUCGGAUUGUAAAACACUGUUAGUUGGGAAGAAGAGAAGUAAGUGAAUCCCUUGCUGUCUUGACGUUACCAAAAGAAUAAGCACCGGCUAACUUCGUG